UACGAGGGGGGCAAGCGUUUGUUCGGAAUUAUUGGGCGUAAAGGGUGCGUAGGCGGUUUGAUAAGUCAUCUGUGAAAUCUCUGGGCUCAACCCAGAGUCUGCAGGCGAAACUGUCGGGCUUGAGUAUGGGAGAGGUGAGUGGAACUGCGAGUGUAGAGGUGAAAUUCGUAGAUAUUCGCAAGAACACCAGUGGCGAAGGCGGCUCACUGGCCCGGUACUGACGCUGAGGUGCGAAAGCGUGGGGAGCGAACAGG
Molecule: ribosomal RNA, 254 nt
Filed under: uncultured bacterium
Lineage: Bacteria
Description: partial 16S ribosomal RNA
Rfam family: Bacterial small subunit ribosomal RNA
Source: RNAcentral